AUGCCAAAAGUAUAUUAAGGGCCAAAUAUGCCUCAUAGUAGCCUCCCUUGACACUCAUAUAAAAUAUGCAAAAAAGAUACCUCACAGUUCUCAUUUUCAAUUAUAAUGCCUUAGGUCUCAUUACUUUUUCCUCAGAUCAGUAUAAGGAAAAAAGUUUUUCCAUGCUCAUCCUGCUGAUAAAACUUCAGUCACUGACACGUUCCCUUUAAAACUAACAAGGCUUUUUAUCUCCCUGCAUUGGCCAGAUAACGAUUUUACAGGCCACUCGGAAUUACCAGAGAGAGCUGAAACUGGAGCAGAGAGAUAAAUGAGAUCCCUGCAGAUAAACCACAUAAUUCAGGGCAGUCAGGAGUUGCAGCCUCUUCCCUCACUUAACCUUGUACCAAGGCUGCUGUGGGUAAUUUGAUUCCCUGCGUACCUUUCUCUGUUGGAAUGGAGAGGGAAUUUUAGGGAGACGUCAGACUGGCAGAAGGAGAGACAACACCCUGUGAAGGAAGGAAAACUGCAUACGGAUUUAGGAGACUUAACCUAAUUAUGCCACCUAAGAUCGAUUAUUUCACUACUCAAAAAUCUUAAUGUCCUUACCUGAAAGAGAGGAGGUUGCACUGAACCUAUGAGAGAGAGAACCUGAGUUGUGGAAGGACUCUCUAAAGUCCUUGCUUGGGGCAAGUGGGGAAGUAACUGGGUUCUGGGCUGUGGUUCUCUCAGAAUGGUUCUGCUUUGGUCUGUUUACACAUCGGGAUUACAUGUUAAGAUUUCAUUUUCUGGAAGGUAUCCAAUGCUAAAGAAAACUAAAACAUGUUUCCUUCUAGCUCUACCACCCUCUGAUUUUUUUUUAUUAGUCUAUGAUAAGAGGAGGUGAAUGCCUGCUAAAGUGACCAGAAGGCUCUCAGUAAAAAGUAUUAACAAGAUAUCAAUUGAAUCUGCAAAACCAAGAAGUGCUUGAAGGAUAUGAAAGAGGAAACUUGAAGGGAAACCCCGAUGGCACAUCUCUCUUCUUGGCUAGGUAGAUGGAAUGUACAGCUAGAGGAUUGGAUGAGGUCAUCCACAGAGAGAACACCGAGAGACUUCUGGGGCUCACCAACACGAAGAAUUUGGGACAAGAAAGAAGAUCCAGCAGAGAAGACUGAAAGAAGGCAGCUAAUAAAAUAGGAGAGAAACUGGAGAGUUUAGAGUUUUGGAGGCCAAGAAGGUGGUUUAAUAUAACCCCUAUCGAAGCAUUCGUGGUUUAUUUUUAUGAACUGACAAAAUGCUUCUAAAACAUACCUGAAAGGUAUAAUUAAUGCACACCUAGGAUAAUGGAUCAUUGUGCCACAUAUUCCUGUUUCACAACUAAUACGGACAUAUUUUCAUGACUUUGUAAAAUAAAAAUGGAAUCUUUCUAAUUUUUUUUUAAACAGCUGCUUGCUUAUGUAAGUCUUCUGUCUCUCACUGUAUAACCCCUCCACUUUUACAUGGGCACACGUUUCUGUCACUUUCCUGGAGCCCUUGUAGCACAUUAAUAAAAUGUAGCACGUGCUUGAAGAAAAAUUUGUCUAGGACAUUUUGUUUUGAAGACUCAUAAAUUGACGCUAUUUUACAUAGGAAUCUAUUAUGCCAUAGGAAGCAUAUUAUAAACCCUUAAGCAGGGACCAAUUAUUCAGUAAAUGGUGAUGACAUGAAUGUCUAGAAAUAUGAAAGCUUUGAUUUCUCACUUCAUUCCACACACCAAAGUGAAUUCUAGAUUG
RNAcentral lists this long non-coding RNA (1727 nucleotides) under Callithrix jacchus (white-tufted-ear marmoset). RNAcentral's name for it is "lncRNA (ENSCJAG00000085501.1)". The record is from RNAcentral. Lineage: Eukaryota; Metazoa; Chordata; Mammalia; Primates; Cebidae.